This 448-nucleotide ribosomal RNA is filed under the name Salmonella enterica subsp. enterica serovar Enteritidis. RNAcentral describes it as "partial 23S ribosomal RNA". It matches the Rfam family "Bacterial large subunit ribosomal RNA", at positions 161 to 645 of the family's 2925-position model. Lineage: Bacteria; Pseudomonadati; Pseudomonadota; Gammaproteobacteria; Enterobacterales; Enterobacteriaceae. The record is from RNAcentral.
AAUCCAUAGGUUAAUGAGGCGAACCGGGGGAACUGAAACAUCUAAGUACCCCGAGGAAAAGAAAUCAACCGAGAUUCCCCCAGUAGCGGCGAGCGAACGGGGAGGAGCCCAGAGCCUGAAUCAGCAUGUGUGUUAGUGGAAGCGUCUGGAAAGGCGCGCGAUACAGGGUGACAGCCCCGUACACAAAAGCGCAUGUGCUGUGAGCUCGAUGAGUAGGGCGGGACACGUGGUAUCCUGUCUGAAUAUGGGGGGACCAUCCUCCAAGGCUAAAUACUCCUGACUGACCGAUAGUGAACCAGUACCGUGAGGGAAAGGCGAAAAGAACCCCGGCGAGGGGAGUGAAAAAGAACCUGAAACCGUGUACGUACAAGCAGUGGGAGCACAGGUUUACCUGUGUGACUGCGUACCUUUUGUAUAAUGGGUCAGCGACUUAUAUUCUGUAGCAAGG